CCGCGGUGAAUACGUUCUCGGGCCUUGUACACACCGCCCGUCACACCAUGGGAGUCGAUAACACCCGAAGUCUGUAGCCUGAGGCAAGAGGGCGCAGCCGAAGGUGGGAUUGAUGACUGGGGUGAAGUCGUAACAAGGUAUC
RNAcentral lists this ribosomal RNA (142 nucleotides) under uncultured bacterium. Its description in RNAcentral is "partial 16S ribosomal RNA". It matches the Rfam family "Bacterial small subunit ribosomal RNA", at positions 1357 to 1500 of the family's 1533-position model. The record is from RNAcentral.